RNAcentral lists this long non-coding RNA (138 nucleotides) under Apteryx owenii (little spotted kiwi). Its description in RNAcentral is "lncRNA (ENSAOWG00000010390.1)". Lineage: Eukaryota; Metazoa; Chordata; Aves; Apterygiformes; Apterygidae. The record is from RNAcentral.
UUAUCAAAAGCACCUAAGCUAACAGGACAUCUUGUCAAGGAGAAGGCUUGCUUCCUUUCAAACUGAAGAGGGAGCUGAACCUCAGUCUGCAUCUCCUUAGGUGAGUAAUCUAAAUAAUAAAUUUUGGUUAGCGGUUCA